GCCUUCGUGGUGUAGUGGUCAGCACGCUCGGCGCGUAUUCGAGAGGUCCGUGGUUCGAUUCCUGCCGACGGCA
RNAcentral lists this transfer RNA (73 nucleotides) under Stegodyphus mimosarum. It matches the Rfam family "tRNA". From Rfam's summary of the family: Transfer RNA (tRNA) molecules are approximately 80 nucleotides in length. Lineage: Eukaryota; Metazoa; Arthropoda; Arachnida; Araneae; Eresidae. The record is from Rfam by way of RNAcentral.